GUUUCACCCUCAUACCGGACAGGGUAUUGAGGUUUAGUAAUUUGGCACUCAUACCGGAUAAGGUAUGGAGAUGGUGCAUUAAUUGAAAAUGUUAAAGGAAAGGGUUCAUGCAUUGUUUGAACAUCCCUAUGCACCCCCAUAGAUACCAGUAGGCUGAUAAAAGAAUAAAAUCGUUGUUCCAACCGAUUGCAUAUGAAAUUAUAAUAUGUGCUAUGUUAUUGCCCCUAUAAGUUGUUUUUAAAAAUCUCGCUACGGUAAGUAGACGGUAAAUGA
This 273-nucleotide long non-coding RNA is filed under the name Carica papaya (papaya). Its description in RNAcentral is "long non-coding RNA (CPAP_LNC007292)". Lineage: Eukaryota; Viridiplantae; Streptophyta; Magnoliopsida; Brassicales; Caricaceae. The record is from RNAcentral.